RNAcentral lists this ribosomal RNA (465 nucleotides) under uncultured bacterium. Its description in RNAcentral is "bacterial SSU rRNA". It matches the Rfam family "Bacterial small subunit ribosomal RNA", at positions 29 to 507 of the family's 1533-position model. The record is from RNAcentral.
AACGAACGCUGGCGGCAUGCCUAACACAUGCAAGUCGAACGAUUAAAGCUCUCUUCGGAGAGUGUAUAGAGUGGCGCACGGGUGAGUAACACGUAAGUAAUCUACCCUCGAGUGGGGAAUAACAACCGGAAACGGUUGCUAAUACCGCAUAAUGCAGCGGCACCGCAAGGUGACAGUUGUUAAAGAUUUAUCGCUUGAGGAGGAGCUUGCGGCAGAUUAGCUAGUUGGUAGGGUAACGGCUUACCAAGGCUACGAUCUGUAACCGGUCUAAGAGGACGGUCGGUCACACUGACACUGAAUAACGGGUCAGACUCCUACGGGAGGCAGCAGUCGGGAAUUUUGGGCAAUGGGCGAAAGCCUGACCCAGCAACGCCGCGUGAAGGAUGAAGUAUUUCGGUAUGUAAACUUCGAAAGAAUAGGAAGAAUUAAUGACGGUACUAUUUAUAAGGUCCGGCUAACUACGUG